AUGCUCCUUUUGGGCCUCCCUGUUGUUGUGCUCCUUGUGAGCCUCCUUGUUGGGGUGCUCCUUGUGAGCCUUCUUGUUGGGGUGCUCCUUGGGGGCCUCUUUGUUGGGGUCCUCCUUGUUGGGGUGCCCCUUGGCCUUCCUGUUGUGCUCCUCUUGGUCCUCCCUGUUGGGGUCCUCUGUGUGGACCUCUUUGUUGGGGUCUCCCUUGUUGGCCUCCCUGUUGAGGUCCUCCUUGUGGUCCUUCCUGUUGGGGUCCUCCUUGUGUGCCUCUUUGUUGGGGUCCUCCUUGUUGGGGUGCCCCUUGGCCUCCCUGUUGUGCUCCUUGUGGGCCUCCCUGUUGGGGUCCUCCUUGUGGGCCUCCCUUUUGCGGUCUUCCUUGUGGGCCUCAUUGUUGGGGUCCUCCUUGUUGGGGUGCCCCUUGUGGGCCUCCCUGCUGGGGUCCACCUUGUUGGGGUGCUCCUUGUGGGCCUCCCUGCUGGGGUCCUCCUUGUUGGGGUGCUCCUUGUGGGCCUCCUCGUUGAGGUCCACCUUGUUGGGGUGCUCCUUGUGGGCCUCCUCGUUGAGCUCCACCUUGUUGGGGUGCUCCUUGUGGGCCUCCCUGCUGGGGUCCUCCUUGUUGGGGU
This 623-nucleotide long non-coding RNA is filed under the name Oryctolagus cuniculus (rabbit). Its description in RNAcentral is "lncRNA (ENSOCUG00000032556.1)". Lineage: Eukaryota; Metazoa; Chordata; Mammalia; Lagomorpha; Leporidae. The record is from RNAcentral.